UUAAAGUCUAAUCUGCCCUAUGAGGUAUUAAAUGGCCGCGGUAUUUUGACCGUGCAAAGGUAGCAUAAUAAUUAGUUUUUUAAUUGAAAGCUGGAAUGAAUGAUUGAACGAGAAAAUAGCUGUCUCAAUUUUAUUUUUAUUAGAAUUUUAUUUUUAAGUAAGAAAGCUUAAAUAUUGUUAAAAGACGAGAAGACCCUAUAGAGUUUUAUACUUCAUUUAUUAUUAAUUUUUUAGAAUUAUUUUAUUAGUGUUAAAGUGAGUAUUUUAUUGGGGUGAUAGAAAAAUUUGAUUAACUUUUUUUAAUUUUUGUACCAUUAAUUUAUGAUUUUAUGAUCCAUUAUUUAUGAUUAAAAGAUUAAGUUACCUUAGGGAUAACAGCGUAAUUUUUUUUUAGAGUUCUUAUCGAAAAAAAAGAUUGCGACCUCGAUGUUGGAUUAAAAUUAAUAUUAGGUGUAGAAGCUUUAUUAUUAGGUCUGUUCGACCUUUAAAAUUUUACA
This 497-nucleotide ribosomal RNA is filed under the name Serica jindrai. RNAcentral's name for it is "partial 16S large subunit ribosomal RNA". It matches the Rfam family "Bacterial large subunit ribosomal RNA", at positions 1845 to 2600 of the family's 2925-position model. The record is from RNAcentral. Lineage: Eukaryota; Metazoa; Arthropoda; Insecta; Coleoptera; Scarabaeidae.